RNAcentral lists this transfer RNA (76 nucleotides) under Alloalcanivorax marinus. RNAcentral describes it as "tRNA-His". It matches the Rfam family "tRNA". From Rfam's summary of the family: Transfer RNA (tRNA) molecules are approximately 80 nucleotides in length. Their secondary structure includes four short double-helical elements and three loops (D, anti-codon, and T loops). Further hydrogen bonds mediate the characteristic L-shaped molecular structure. tRNAs have two regions of fundamental functional importance: the anti-codon, which is responsible for specific mRNA codon recognition, and the 3' end, to which the tRNAs corresponding amino acid is attached (by aminoacyl-tRNA synthetases). tRNAs cope with the degeneracy of the genetic code in two manners: having more than one tRNA (with a specific anti-codon) for a particular amino acid; and 'wobble' base-pairing, i.e. permitting non-standard base-pairing at the 3rd anti-codon position. The record is from RNAcentral. RNAcentral also lists the same sequence under 4 other names. Lineage: Bacteria; Pseudomonadati; Pseudomonadota; Gammaproteobacteria; Oceanospirillales; Alcanivoracaceae.
GUGGCUGUAGCUCAGUUGGUAGAGCCCCGGAUUGUGACUCCGGUGGUCGUGGGUUCAAGUCCCAUCAGCCACCCCA